GAUCCGGGUUGCGGACAGUGUCUGGUGGGUAGUUUGACUGGGGCGGUCUCCUCCUAAAGAGUAACGGAGGAGCACGAAGGUUGGCUAAUCCUGGUCGGACAUCAGGAGGUUAGUGCAAUGGCAUAAGCCAGCUUGACUGCGAGCGUGACGGCGCGAGCAGGUGCGAAAGCAGGUCAUAGUGAUCCGGUGGUUCUGAAUGGAAGGGCCAUCGCUCAACGGAUAAAAGGUACUCCGGGGAUAACAGGCUGAUACCGCCCAAGAGUUCAUAUCGACGGCGGUGUUUGGCACCUCGAUGUCGGCUCAUCACAUCCUGGGGCUGAAGUAGGUCCCAAGGGUAUGGCUGUUCGCCAUUUAAAGUGGUACGCGAGCUGGGUUUAGAACGUCGUGAGACAGUUCGGUCCCUAUCUGCCGUGGGCGCUGGAGAACUGAGGGGGGCUGCUCCUAGUACGAGAGGACCGGAGUGGACGCAUCACUGGUGUUCGGGUUGUCAUGCCAAUGGCACUGCCCGGUAGCUAAAUGCGGAAGAGAUAAGUGCUGAAAGCAUCUAAGCACGAAACUUGCCCCGA
RNAcentral lists this ribosomal RNA (566 nucleotides) under Escherichia coli. RNAcentral's name for it is "partial 23S ribosomal RNA". It matches the Rfam family "Bacterial large subunit ribosomal RNA", at positions 2237 to 2802 of the family's 2925-position model. Lineage: Bacteria; Pseudomonadati; Pseudomonadota; Gammaproteobacteria; Enterobacterales; Enterobacteriaceae. RNAcentral also lists the same sequence under 3 other names. The record is from RNAcentral.